CUGUGGUUCCCUCAGGUUAUCUGCAGGAAGAAAACGCUUCUAAAAAUCAUCUCCUGACACUGAAGCUCACCUCCCUGCUAGGGAUUGAGGCACCAAAGGGAAAAACAGUGCUGGGGAGGGGAGGAAUAAAAUCCCUGCUGCUUCUGUCCGCAGGCAUUCGAGCUUUCCUGUUUUGUGAACACCCCAGGGGGAAGCAGCAGCUUCAUGCUGCCGGGGAGGGUGCGAGCAAUGAAGGGGGCCGUGAUUCCUGCACAAAGCGCCUCCAAACCCCGGGUAAUUGGUAGCUGCUCGUUAACGAGCUCUCCCCCCGUGUGCCCCCACCCUGGGGCUGAGCAGCUGCUCGCCCGGCAAACCCCCGUGGCUGGCUUCGUUUCACCCACCCCUCUGCUCUCCACCUAAAAACCCCGUGAGACCUUCUCCCUGUGCAGGCUCGGCGCAUCCCUGCCCUGGAUGAGGCCCCGAGCACGGCGUGCUGCUGCUGCUGCUGCCCCCGGUCCCCUCCCUGGCUCCCUCCCUGCCCGAGGACGCGCUGCUGCUGGGCAGGGAACGGGGGACGCUGCCCCGUUUGGCCAGGGUCGAGCUGCUCCAACUGAGCGCUGCUCGGUUACCUCUCGGCAAACCUGGGGAGCCAAAGACGGACACGGAGGAGCUGACGGAGCCUGGGCAGGGCAGAGGCAGCCCCGGCUGGCCCUGCCAGCAGCUCUGGGCACCACGUCCCCGUGCAGGGACCCCUCUGUGCCAGCAGCUGCACUGGGACCAUCACCACCACUCCCUGGGGACACCGAGGUGCCAAAACGCAGAGAAGAGCUGCCUUUGCCAGAGCAAGAAGAAGCAGAGGGCAGGCCAGGGACACAAAGCAGGGGUCCCCACGCUCCCCGUGCCCCAUCCCCGGCAGCCCCAGAGAAGCAGCACCCAGCACGCCGCCCCCCAGCCCACACCAUGACCCCGCUGGGCUCCGCAGGACACCGGUGCCACCGGGGCAGCCCCGAUCCCCCGGGACGCAGGCGCUGCCCGAGCUGCUGCUGUUUGCCUCGGUGCAGCAGCAGGAAGCUUUGCCGUCUAAUUAAACAAAUCCUUCAUCUCCUCGGCGGCAGCCGUGCCAGGCAGGGGAGCAGCAGGGGGGGCACGGAGCAGGGGGAGGGGGGCCGAGUUCUCCUUCCUUCGCUCCCCGCCUGAUGCCGCAGCUGUGUAACGCUUCGCCUUCCAAACCCAUCCCUCCGGGGGGGCUCUGGCAAAUAAAAAUAACCCCGCGCAGCUCGGCCGAGCCGGG
This 1270-nucleotide long non-coding RNA is filed under the name Anas platyrhynchos platyrhynchos (common mallard). Its description in RNAcentral is "lncRNA (ENSAPLG00000026740.1)". Lineage: Eukaryota; Metazoa; Chordata; Aves; Anseriformes; Anatidae. The record is from RNAcentral.